This 5908-nucleotide long non-coding RNA is filed under the name Sorghum bicolor (sorghum). RNAcentral describes it as "long non-coding RNA (SBIC_LNC006830)". Lineage: Eukaryota; Viridiplantae; Streptophyta; Magnoliopsida; Poales; Poaceae. The record is from RNAcentral.
UGCGCUUGCGGAUAGAAUAGAUUAUUUUCUAGAGAGCCUUUACAUUCAUAAAUACCUUUGUACACUCUGGCACCAUGCUGGGGAUGACAACCUACUAUCCAAAGGGUGUUAGUAAGUGUCAACAAGCAUUUCUGGCGCCGUUGCCGGGGAACACACAAAAAGGGAAACACAUAGGAACUGUAAGGAAAGUUAGGAAAUCAGUCAAGGUUAUUCAUAUAAAAUAUUAGACUAGACUAUAGAGAAAUAAUUGCAUAAAAUAGCUACUAAGUGAGAAAUCAUAACAAGGCACCUCUGCUUUGGCAGGUUCACCCUGUUGUUUUUCUAUAUUUAUAUUUUUAUACAAGGUAUAUCAGGAUUGACUUUGGUACAUUCAACUCUUCAUCAUCAGAACCAAAGCAAUCAAGAAAGAAAGAAGAAGCUAGCUACCAAUUGGUGAAGCUAUGGCACAAAAGACCUUGCAAGAAUUCUCUGCUCCAAGUCUUGAGAACAUUCCAACUGGUCCAAGAUUUGCACUAGAAGAAGGAGCACCCGAGUUCGAGCUCAAGUCAUGCCUCAUCAAUUUGGUACAAGCUACACAAUUCAGUGGAAAGGCACAUGAAGAUGCUAGUGCACACUUGCAGAAUUUCUUAGAAAUUGGAAGCACAAUCCGUAUCAACAGAGUCGACAAAGACAUCAUACUGCUUCGCCCUUUUCCAUUCUCACUAGAAGAGAAAGCGAGGAAGUGGUUCUACACUCAUCAAGAUAACAUCAACAACUGGACGAACUUGUCAGACGCCUUUCUAUCAAAGUUUUUCCCUAUGGGCAAGACAGCUGCCUUAAGAGGAAAUAUUGCCAGUUUCCAAGAGCAGAAGACAGAAACCAUUUCAGAAGCAUGGGAGCAUUUUCAAGGAUACAUAUCAGAUUGUCCUCACCAUGGAAUGGCCACAUGGUUACUUAUGCAGACCUUCUACCAUGGAUUAACCCAGAAGGCUCAUGAGUGCCUAGAUCCAUCUGCUAAAGGAUCAUUCUUGGAGCUUACAAUUGGAAAAGCAGAGAUACUUUUGGAUAAGAUAGCAGAGAACCAAAGCUGGUUCCAAGAUGAAGCUCAACAAUGUCAUCAAACUGAAGAAAUACCAGAAGAAGUAAAUGCAUUAUCAACCAAGAUGGAAAAUUUGCUCCAUUGGAUUGACCAGAGGGCCAAGUUUAAAGAAGAUCAAAGGGCCAUUGAGACAGCAUACAAAUAUCACCCCACUUCGAGUCAACCCAAUAGAAAAGGUAUGAAUUCAAGUAAAGAACGCAGGGAAGGCCCUCAAGAACAUAGGUACAAGGAAUUCAUCCCGACACUCCUCGCACCAGUCAGAGAUGAGCAUUGACCCAACACCCCCGCAAGCUCCGUCAUCUUCAUCUGAUCCACAAGUCAAGGUCCUGCUCAAGAUAGGAGACCUUGGACUGAAGACCCGCAGGGAGAAGGAAGUUUGCUAGCAGCUAAAGAAUAAGGAUUUCAUUCACACCCCCACUCUUGAUCCUAUCUUGCUACAAGAAACAGGUAUGGAUACUGAAUUCGAUUUGAUUUUUCAGAUGGUGGGUUGGACAAAUUUUUGGAACAUAACUGAGCUGGGUUCCCGUCUUCUCACCCUUGAAUUUCUUUGCACUUUACAAUAUUAUGAGGGGGGAAUUGCUUUUCGGAUGUUCAAACAGGACAUUAUGUUGUCUUGGAGAGAACUGAGCGGCCAUCUCGGUUUCUCUUCAAGAUGCAUCUUGGACAUUGACUCCGACUUACCCAAUUUUGAGAGACACCAGUUCUGGAGAGAGAUAUCUAGAGAUGAGUUUUAUAGCCAAGCCCGAACCAGCGACAUGGAACACCCCACUCUUAGGAUGUUCCACAAAUGGCUUGGGUACAAUCUUUUCCAUCGUGAUGAUAUUAGAAAAGUAAGAGUAGGAGAUUUACAACUUCUAUAUGCUGCUAUAAAUAAAGUACCCACUUCCCCUGUUACACUUUUGGUUUCUCAUUGGCUUAGUAUACCUACUCUUCAGGGACCUGUAGGAUGUACUUCACUUAUCACUCGUCUAGCCUCUAAUCUUCAUUUCCUAGAAAACUCGUCAUUGGAAUUCAUUGACGAGUUACGAAUUUAUCAUGGCUAUGACACAUUUAGGAAAGCUCGGAUGUUGAAAAAAGAGGGGAACAUAAUGUAUAUGUUAUACGAUAAUAAAGGCAAGAUUCGGUUACCUAACCCGAACCUUGGCCUCUAUGUUGUUCAAAAUUUUUUGAUUGAGAUUGCAGUGACACCGGUAAACUAGAGAGCUCCAUAAUGAGUGGCAUCUGAAAGGAUGACCACCCAUCAAGAACGCACCUGAUAUGGAGUUGAUCCCGGGCCGGAAGAAGCAACGCACCUGCAUUAUUGCGACUACAACCCCCGAGUCCUUCGGGACCCAUGGGUUCAACAUGCUCAACCACAAGAGCCAACACAGGAGAUAUGGCCGGAGAGCCAAGAUCACCAGUGGACAAACCCGCUUUUCCGUACGGGCAGGUACUCCACUGAUCCAUAUGGAGCUUCAGGGUCCAGACCUCCGCCCCAAUUCGAUGCAGGACGAUACUCCGACGCCUCUUAUGCUUUCAUGAAUGACUACUACCAAGAGGCCGGUGCUUUCUUCACCUGUACCGACAACACCCUCCUCGACAUCCAUAAUACGCAAGCGGAACAUGGGCGACUCCUGGAACAGCAACAAAAAUGGAACCAGGACCACGCCGCUGCAGUACAAGAACUGAGACAAGAAACCACGACAAUGAACGACAACAUCACCACCAUGAUGCGAUUCUGGAACAUUUGGUAAGACCAACAACCACAUCCAGCUUGGGGGAGUUCCUCCCCUUUUUAUCAAGUAAGUUUUUAUUUUGCUCUUCUUAUUCUUUUCUGUGUUAGUGUUUUAUUUAUCUUAAAUAGAAAAACUUAGAAAACCGAAUAAAUAUUUUCUUGCUUUAAAUUACUGCAUCCUAUAAACAUAAAAACAAAAUAAAAAGAGUGUGUAGAUAAGUGUGCUUUUUUUUCUGCUAAGUUUAAUCUCUAGAAAAAAAUAAAAGACCAAAAAAAUGCAUGAUGGAAAUGAUGAAUAGUUGCUCUGUUUGCUUAUUUUCGAGUACCUAGAUUUUAUAUUAGAGUUCUUCCAAGAAUUAUUAAAACUAAAAUUACUAUCUAUGGAAAGCAUAAAACUAAAGUCUAGGUAAGAGAAAGGCAUGAUAUAAAGUUUGAGCUACUGUUUAUCUUGUUCCUACUACACUAAGUUCUGGAAAUUUAUUUUGGAAAACUUGCAAAUCACAUGAUGACUUCCUAGCACGACAAACUUCCUACCAUAGCCAUACUUGCUAUAACAUCUAUUGCUACUAUAUUUCACAUUGAGUUUGAUCGAGCUAUGUAGACCCUUAGGAGCUUUUGAUGUGAUUAAAUUAAGAUAUUCACUUGCACACAUCCACUACACCAUUCACCACCAUUCAUUAAAAUUGCUAAAAAUAAUAUUAUCACUCACUGUCCCAAGUGUUGUUAUUCUCUCUCUCUAAAAAGAUUCAAUGCAGAAGAGGCAUGGGUUUUGCAAAAAUAUGCGAGGAAAUAAAAGGGGCAAGUGCCCGAAACCUCUAAAAAGAAAGAAAAAGAGCGAGACGAGAGGUAAAAAUGGACAAGUGUCCAGAGUAGAAUUAGGGGUACAAAGAUGCCCACUUGAGCGAAAAAAAUAGACAAGUGUCCCACAGUAGAAUUAGGGGUAUCUACUACCCACCAGAAAAAAAAGAGAAAAGAAAAAGAUAGCCCAUGUUCUCCCAAAGCAAAGAUCAAAGAAGAGGGGAGAUAGCAGUAUAAGGAGCAAUGAGAAGUAAGUUUUAUCAUCACUUAUACAUCACUAUCAUUUGCUCCACCACACAUGCACAUCUUGAUUUAAUUAUAUGCUGAGUUCCUUUGGAUCCAUGGCUCGAUUAGACAACAUAUGUAUGAGUUGUUUUUCACUCCUAUGAGCUCCACUUAAAUAUCCAUUAGCUAUAGGUAAGUGACAUUUUUGGUAAGGAUCCACAAAUACCACAUAUAGAGAGACUUGAGAGAAUCAUUGCUGGAAACUCUGAGUUUUAUUUUAAAAACUUAUGCAAAACUCCAGAACAAAGGUGAAGUAUAGACAGGAGGAAUAGUGCUUGACUUAAUUAUUUUGUCUUUCGAUUACUUAAGACUCAGGUGCAGGUACUAAGCUUCAUGACACUUCACUCUAAUCUGGAAGAAUUUUAUAUGAAAGCAUGUGUGCCUGUUAGGAAAGAAAACAUCGAAGCAACUCCUGAUCUGUCUGAGUUUAGUUGUUUGCUCAGGGACGAGCAAAGGGUAAGCUUGGGGGAGUUUGUUGACGGUCCUUAAGUACUAAAUUUAGCCAUCAACUAAACAUGGAAAAGGAUCAAUAUGCACCAAACAUCUAGAAUUAGGGUUUUAUCUGACAGAAUUCCACGAGCUUUGGUGUUUGUCUAUUUCUGCAGGGGGUUAUUAGGAAAUAUGGAGAGAAGGCCCACAUGUCAUGUUUACAAAGAGAUAAUUACGUGCCGCGCAAUUUUCCUUAAUCUAGAAGAGUCCAGAAGCCACGGCAACGAACGGGAGACCGGACGGGCUCGGGGGCAAGGCGCUCGCCCUCCCCCCUUGGGCGCCCACCCUGGCCUCAGGGCCAAUCACAAUCAACUUCAUGGAUUAUGCUCCACCGACCUAAAGGAUCAAGGAAAAUCGUGCGAUCAAUGUCGGUUUGAUCCGACGGCCUAAAGUUAGGGAGAGAGGAGAAAUCAUUAUCAGAGGAAGCCAUCAAAGUUAUGGUUUAGAACUUCUCUCCCAUAGAGAAUUAGAAUUAGCUACUCCCUAAUCCUUCAAGUUUAGAGGAUUGAUUAGAUAGAAUUAGAGAAGUAGAGCCUAGUGCUCUGGAUUCGGAUCUUUGUUAAUAAAGACUGGUAUUAUUUCAUAUCUUUCUCUACUACUUUAUUCUAAUUGUAUUAUGUCUCUAUUUAUUAUGCUCUUAGUUUGCUCUAGUUCUAUAUUUGAUAUAGUUAUGAUUGAUAAUGAGUUUAUGUAUAAGUUUGCAAAGCGCUUAGCUCUUGACACAUGGGAGUUAAGUGGUAGAUUACAUGUAGGCGUGGUGCUUAGAUGUUAUUUACCUGCAAAUAUAUCCUAUUGGCCGGGUCGUGUGGUAGUUCGCGAUAGUGACAGCUUCGUUGAUUCUUAUAUAGUCCACCCUCCGUUGAUAGGACAGACAGAAUUGGUAUUGCGGAGUAAGUCUUGCGAUGCUCUGAUUUACUUUAGCAAUGUUCCUUAUACAUGAAUAAAGAGUCUUUUAUACUAUAUAUGAUCUUGUAGAUAACUAGAGUAGAUUGUGACUUAGUAGAUAGUAGAUGACUUAUUAUCCAUUCUCUAGCUAAUCUGACGUCACCUUACAUAUAUGAGGAGUAGUCUAUUUUCUAAUCACUGUGUUAUUUACCCAUGAGCUUAUAUUUCAUUAUCAUUAUUAUUAUGGCUUACCCCCUGUCAAAGUAAGUGACUGUGUGACGAGUUCCUCAUUAGUAAUCAUAUUUUUGCAUGUUUAUCUCUAGUCUAUGCCUUGAUAGAUUUUAUCCUUAUCUUCAUCUUCAUUGUUCUCUUAAGCAAAAUUAUAAAUAACGAUACCUGGAAUACUUUCCUGGUGAAAUGCUACAAUGAGGUAUUUUAUCUGUGCGCUUGCGGAUAGAAUAGAUUAUUUUCUAGAGAGCCUUUACAUUCAUAAAUACCUUUGUACACUCUGGCACCAUGCUGGGGAUGACAACCUAGUAUCCAAGUGGUGUUAGUAAGUGUCAACACAUGACACAACUCUAAACCAGGGGUCAACAAAAGUUGACAACUCUCAACACAAGCAAGCAACCUAUGUGCUGGGUUUCUAUCAUGUAGAGCAU